AUUAUAGUAGGUAUAUUAAUGAGAGAAUCUAGCAUUAGCAUCAUUAGUCUUCAUUGUAUUUGCGCCUGUUCGGUAAUACUAAUUUUUGUUAAUUUUAAACUAAACCUACGUUUGAUAAUUUUGAAAUCAUGAAGCCGAUUGUUGUCGUUUACUUCGCUCUUGUGGCGCUCUGCGUGGCUGUAAGCUUCGCAGAAUCUUAUGUUUGCGGAUGUGAUCAUACAAAAACGAAACGUAAUUCUGAUUGCGGCAGAUUUGAGAGCCCCGAAAAAUUGCAAGAAUACAAUGAUCUGCCUCCUACAACAUACUAUGAACUGUUGUCAGACAAAGGAGAUUGCGCCGAGUACAACAUUGAGCCAUCAUUCACCCACCCCCGCCCGAAUAAUAAAAAAUAGAAUCAAUAGAAAUUUUGUUGUGUGUAAAAUCAAAAUGAUAAUAAAUUCAAUUCUUCAAUAAAUCUGCAUUUGAAUAAUA
This is a long non-coding RNA of Planococcus citri (citrus mealybug), 471 nucleotides long. RefSeq lists it as uncharacterized. The record is from RefSeq and is a predicted model, not a curated record. The transcript has 3 exons. Lineage: Eukaryota; Metazoa; Arthropoda; Insecta; Hemiptera; Pseudococcidae.